Molecule: ribosomal RNA, 253 nt
Filed under: uncultured bacterium
Lineage: Bacteria
Description: partial 16S ribosomal RNA
Rfam family: Bacterial small subunit ribosomal RNA
Source: RNAcentral
GACAGAGGGUGCAAACGUUGUUCGGAAUUACUGGGCGUAAAGCGCGUGUAGGCGGCUAAGUAAGUCGGGCGUGAAAUCCCACGGCUCAACCGUGGAAGUGCACUCGAAACUGCGUAGCUAGAGUCCUGGAGAGGAAGGUGGAAUGCUUGGUGUAGAGGUGAAAUUCGUAGAUAUCAGGAGGAACACCGGUGGCGAAGGCGGGUCUCUGGGCAGUAACUGACGCUGAGGAGCGAAAGCGUGGGGAGCGAACAGG